This 218-nucleotide long non-coding RNA is filed under the name Elaeis guineensis (African oil palm). RNAcentral's name for it is "long non-coding RNA (EGUI_LNC069225)". The record is from RNAcentral. Lineage: Eukaryota; Viridiplantae; Streptophyta; Magnoliopsida; Arecales; Arecaceae.
GCCCUGUUUGGAUUUUCCUUGACUAGGUAUUUGACCUAGAUAAGGAUUCUUCAUAUCUUUUUAUUUAAGAUAAAUUUCUUCUUGAAAUUUUUAUGAAUUAUAUAUCAUUAAGAUACCUUUAGGGUGUGUGAAAAUCAAGGAGAAAAAGUAUUGGAGCGUGGAGAUAUAAUAGACACAAAAUUAGGUGUCUAGGUGAGAGCAAAGAGAAGAAGAAGAGG